Molecule: ribosomal RNA, 1772 nt
Filed under: Tetranychus kanzawai
Lineage: Eukaryota; Metazoa; Arthropoda; Arachnida; Trombidiformes; Tetranychidae
Also listed under: 1 other name
Description: SSU rRNA
Rfam family: Eukaryotic small subunit ribosomal RNA
Source: RNAcentral
AGAGCUAAUACAUGAACAAGUGUUCCAACCUCAGCUUGCUGACGGAAGGAUCGCAUUUAUUAGUACAAGACCAAUGAUUCUUAUUCACCUAGAACCCUGUUCAGUGAUUUCGGUCGCUGUCUAAGGACUAGCAGUGGGGAUCUUAGCAACUUCGGUUGCAUUUCUUGUGAUGACUCUGAAUAACUGAGCAAAUCGUAUGGCCUCUGAGCCGACGAUGUAUCCCUCAAGCAACUGCCUUAUCAACUGUCGAUGGUAGGUUAUGCGCCUACCAUGGUUGUAACGGGUAACGGGGAAUUAGGGUUCGAUUCCGGAGAGGGAGCCUGAGAAACGGCUACCACAUCUAAGGAAGGCAGCAGGCGCGCAAAUUACACAAUCCCAGUACGGGGAUGUAGUGACGAAAAAUAACAAUACGGGACUCUAUUGAGGCCCCGUAAUUGGAAUGAGUACAAUUUAAAUCCUUUAACGAGGAUCUAUUGGAGGGCAAGUCUGGUGCCAGCAGCCGCGGUAAUUCCAGCUCCAAUAGCGUAUAUUAAAGUUGCUGCGGUUAAAAAGCUCGUAGUUGGAUUUCAGUCGAACCUAUGGGGUCCACUGAUUAAAGGGUUAGAUGGUGAUGUUAGGUUUCUUGCUUGUGUCUACGGAUGCUAGCUUGAACCUUCAUUCCUCUUUCCUGGUGGUUACAUUCAUAGUGUUUAGACAGAAAAUUGCUCGAUAUUUGCUAUCAAUGCUCUUUACCGAGUGUUGAUUCAAGCGAUCGAGACUUUUACCUUGAAAAAAUCAGAGUGCUCAAAGCAGGCGUCCAAAACCUCGAAAGAGGUGCCUAAAAACGGUAUGGUCAACCAUCUAUAUGAUGCGUACCACUACCUUAACUUGAAUGAUCUUGCAUGGAAUAAUGGAAUAGGACCUUGGUUCUAUUUUGUUGGUCUUAAGAAUCCAAGGUAAUGAUUAAGAGGGACAGACGGGGGCAUUUGUAUUGCGGCGCUAGAGGUGAAAUUCUUGGACCGUCGCAAGACAAACUACAGCGAAAGCAUUUGCCAAGAAUGUUUUCAUUAAUCAAGAACGAAAGUUAGAGGUUCGAAGGCGAUCAGAUACCGCCCUAGUUCUAACCAUAAACGAUGCCAACCAGCGAUCAUUCUGAGUAACUAAUUUCAUGACUCGAAUGGAAGCUUCCGGGAAACCAAAGUUUUUGGGUUCCGGGGGAAGUAUGGUUGCAAAGCUGAAACUUAAAGGAAUUGACGGAAGGGCACCACCAGGAGUGGAGCUUGCGGCUUAAUUUGACUCAACACGGGAAAACUCACCCGGCCCGGACACUGAGAGGAUUGACAGAUUGAGAGCUCUUUCUUGAUUCAGUGGGUGGUGGUGCAUGGCCGUUCUUAGUUGGUGGAGUGAUUUGUCUGGUUAAUUCCGAUAACGAACGAGACUCUAGCCUACUAAAUAGACUUGCAGUUUACACUGCAGUACUCCCCCUUAGUCAACCUGUGGGUGGUAGUAUCUCUUGAUGGUUUCGGCUGUUGAGGGCUCUGCUGCUAUUAGCCUACAGAAUUGGCUAGGGUAAGGAUGCUGUAGCACUGUAAGGACUUCUUAGAGGGACAAGCGGCGCUCGCAGCCGCACGAAACAGAGCAAUAACAGGUCUGUGAUGCCCUUAGAUGUCCGGGGCCGCACGCGUGCUACACUGAAGUGGUCAUCGUGCAUACUGUUUCCUGCUCCGAAAGGAGUGGGUAACCGCUUGAACCCAUUUCGUGAUGGGGAUUGGGCAUUGUAAUUAUUGCCCAUG